This 1213-nucleotide ribosomal RNA is filed under the name uncultured organism. RNAcentral describes it as "bacterial SSU rRNA". It matches the Rfam family "Bacterial small subunit ribosomal RNA", at positions 113 to 1299 of the family's 1533-position model. The record is from RNAcentral.
ACGCGUGAGUAAUCUGCCUUCAAGCUUGGGAUAACAUUGCGAAAGCGGUGCUAAUACCAGAUAAGCCUACACUGUCUACUUGACAGAGCAGGAAAAGAUGGCCUCUGAUACAAGCUAUCACUUGAAGAUGAGCUCGCGUACCAUUAGCUUGUUGGUAGGGUAACGGCCUACCAAGGCUAAGAUGGUUAGCUGGCCUGAGAGGGCGGCCAGCCACACUGGAACUGAGACACGGUCCAGACUCCUACGGGAGGCAGCAGUGGGGAAUAUUGCGCAAUGGGGGAAACCCUGACGCAGUGACGCCACGUGAGUGAUGAAGGUCUUCGGAUCGUAAAGCUCUGUCAGAUGGGAAGAAUAAAAGCAGUGAAAAUAUUGCUGCUUGAUGACGGUACCAUCAGAGGAAGCACCGGCUAACUCCGUGCCAGCAGCCGCGGUAAUACGGAGGGUGCAAGCGUUGUUCGGAAUUACUGGGCGUAAAGCGCGUGUAGGCGGGUGAGUAGGUCAGAUGUGAAAUCCCUUGGCUUAACUAAGGACGUGCAUCUGAAACCAUUCAUCUUGAGUGCGACAGAGGAGAGUGGAAUUCCCAGUGUAGAGGUGAAAUUCAUAGAUAUUGGGAAGAACACCAGUGGCGAAGGCGACUCUCUGGGUCGCAACUGACGCUGAGACGCGAAAGCGUGGGGAGCAAACAGGAUUAGAUACCCUGGUAGUCCACGCCGUAAACGAUGUGCACUAGGUGUUGGAAGUAAUUAAACUUUCAGUGCCGAAGCUAACGCAUUAAGUGCACCGCCUGGGGAUUACGGCCGCAAGGUUAAUACUCAAAGGAAUUGACGGGGGCCCGCACAAGCGGUGGAGUAUGUGGUUUAUUUUGACGCAACGCGCAAAACCUUACGUGGGCUUGACAUCCCGGUCGCAUCCCGUGGAAACACAGGAGUCAGUUCGGCUGGACCGGUGACAGGUGCUGCAUGGCUGUCGUCAGCUCGUGUCGUGAGAUGUUGGGUUAAGUCCCGCAACGAGCGCAACCCCUACCGUUAGUUGCCAUCAUUCAGUUGGGCACUCUAAUGGAACUGCCGGUGUUAAACCGGAUGGAAGGUGGGGACGACGUCAAGUCCUCAUGGCCCUUAUGCCCAGGGCUACACACGUACUACAAUGGCCGGUACAAAGGGCAGCGAGCUCGCGAGAGCAAGCAAAUCCCAAAAAGCUGGUCCCAGUUCGGAUU